AGAAUGACUGGGAAUUAACCUCAUCCCCAAAAGCUGUUGGCCCGGGGCGAGACAUUUCCAUUGCACAUCGGCUUGGUUGACUCCUGCGAUCGUCCCAAAUGUGGACGACUCGGGUGCGCAAUUUAUAAGUGUGGGUGACUGCGUUCGUGCUCUCCUUAA
This is a small nuclear RNA of Haliotis rubra (blacklip abalone), 159 nucleotides long. RefSeq annotates it as U1 spliceosomal RNA. The transcript has a single exon. Lineage: Eukaryota; Metazoa; Mollusca; Gastropoda; Lepetellida; Haliotidae. The record is from RefSeq and is a predicted model, not a curated record.